RNAcentral lists this ribosomal RNA (254 nucleotides) under uncultured bacterium. RNAcentral describes it as "partial 16S ribosomal RNA". It matches the Rfam family "Bacterial small subunit ribosomal RNA", at positions 524 to 776 of the family's 1533-position model. The record is from RNAcentral.
UACGGGGGGAGCAAGCGUUGUUCGGAUUUACUGGGCGUAAAGGGCGCGUAGGCGGUCAGCACAAGUCAGUUGUGAAAUCUCCGGGCUUAACUCGGAAAGGUCAACUGAUACUGUGCGACUAGAGUGCAGAAGGGGCAACUGGAAUUCUCGGUGUAGCGGUGAAAUGCGUAGAUAUGACAUAGAACACCAAUUGCGAAGGCAGCUUACUACACAGUGAUUGACACUGAGGCACGAAAGCGUGGGGAUCAAACAGG